This 34-nucleotide non-coding RNA is filed under the name Octactis speculum. Lineage: Eukaryota; Dictyochophyceae; Dictyochales; Dictyochaceae. The record is from RNAcentral.
GCCCCACAUCUCCAUGGAAAACAAAGCCAAGUAC